Molecule: ribosomal RNA, 249 nt
Filed under: uncultured bacterium
Lineage: Bacteria
Description: partial 16S ribosomal RNA
Rfam family: Bacterial small subunit ribosomal RNA
Source: RNAcentral
UACGAAGGGGGCUAGCGUUGCUCGGAAUCACUGGGCGUAAAGGCGCGUAGGCGGCCAUUCAAGUCAGAGGUGAAAGCCCAAGGCUCAACCUUGGAACUGCCUUUGAUACUGUUUGGCUUGAGACCGGUAGAGGUAAGUGGAACUGCGAGUGUAGAGGUGAAAUUCGUAGAUAUUCGCAAGAACACCAGUGGCGAAGGCGGCUACUGGACCGGUUCUGACGCUGAGGCGCGAAAGCGUGGGAGCAACAGG